RNAcentral lists this ribosomal RNA (457 nucleotides) under uncultured bacterium. Its description in RNAcentral is "bacterial SSU rRNA". It matches the Rfam family "Bacterial small subunit ribosomal RNA", at positions 29 to 531 of the family's 1533-position model. The record is from RNAcentral.
AGCGAACGCUGGCGGCAGGCUUAACACAUGCAAGUCGAACGGGCGUAGCAAUACGUCAGUGGCAGACGGGUGAGUAACGCGUGGGAACGUACCUUUUGGUUCGGAACAACACAGGGAAACUUGUGCUAAUACCGGAUAAGCCCUUACGGGGGAAAGAUUUAUCGCCGAAAGAUCGGCCCGCGUCUGAUUAGCUAGUUGGUGAGGUAACGGCUCACCAAGGCGACGAUCAGUAGCUGGUCUGAGAGGAUGAUCAGCCACAUUGGGACUGAGACACGGCCCAAACUCCUACGGGAGGCAGCAGUGGGGAAUAUUGGACAAUGGGCGCAAGCCUGAUCCAGCCAUGCCGCGUGAGUGAUGAAGGCCCUAGGGUUGUAAAGCUCUUUGUGCGGGAAGAUAAUGACGGUACCGCAAGAAUAAGCCCGUACUUCGUGCCAGCAGCCGCGUAAAAUAGCGUACU